AGAGUUUGAUCAUGGCUCAGAACGAACGCUGGCGGCAUGCCUAACACAUGCAAGUCGAACGAGGCCUUCGGGUCUAGUGGCGCACGGGUGCGUAACGCGUGGGAAUCUGCCCUUGGGUUCGGAAUAACAGUUAGAAAUGACUGCUAAUACCGGAUGAUGUCUUCGGACCAAAGAUUUAUCGCCCAAGGAUGAGCCCGCGUAGGAUUAGGUAGUUGGUGGGGUAAUGGCCCACCAAGCCGACGAUCCUUAGCUGGUCUGAGAGGAUGAUCAGCCACACUGGGACUGAGACACGGCCCAGACUCCUACGGGAGGCAGCAGUGGGGAAUAUUGGACAAUGGGCGAAAGCCUGAUCCAGCAAUGCCGCGUGAGUGAUGAAGGCCUUAGGGUUGUAAAGCUCUUUUACCCGGGAUGAUAAUGACAGUACCGGGAGAAUAAGCUCCGGCUAACUCCGUGCCAGCAGCCGCGGUAAUACGGAGGGAGCUAGCGUUGUUCGGAAUUACUGGGCGUAAAGCGUACGUAGGCGGUUAUUCAAGUCAGAGGUGAAAGCCCGGGGCUCAACCCCGGAACUGCCUUUGAAACUAGGUAGCUAGAAUCUUGGAGAGGUCAGUGGAAUUCCGAGUGUAGAGGUGAAAUUCGUAGAUAUUCGGAAGAACACCAGUGGCGAAGGCGACUGACUGGACAAGUAUUGACGCUGAGGUACGAAAGCGUGGGGAGCAAACAGGAUUAGAUACCCUAGUAGUCC
Molecule: ribosomal RNA, 742 nt
Filed under: uncultured bacterium
Lineage: Bacteria
Description: bacterial SSU rRNA
Rfam family: Bacterial small subunit ribosomal RNA
Source: RNAcentral